This 157-nucleotide small RNA is filed under the name Pan troglodytes (chimpanzee). RNAcentral's name for it is "processed transcript". Lineage: Eukaryota; Metazoa; Chordata; Mammalia; Primates; Hominidae. The record is from RNAcentral.
CAGGAUUCCUGGUUUUCAAGCCUGAGCUGAUCUCUCGGCUGGAGCAGGGAGAAGAGCCAUGGGUCCUCGACCUGCAGGGAGCAGAGGGGACAGAGGCACCAAGGACCUCCAAGACAGAUUCUACGAUUAGGACUGAAAAUGAGCAGGCCUGUGAGGA